CCCGCGUAAUUUAGGCAUAUUAGUAAGCGGAGGAAGAACUAACAAGGAUUCCCUUAGUAGCUGCGAGCGAACAGGGAAAAGCCCAGCACUGAAUCUCGGAGGCAUCGCCUUUUGAGAAAUGUGGUGUUUGGGAGGGUUCAUAUACCUGAUACCGUCGCACUGCGUCCAAGUCCAUCUUGAAAGAGGCCACGGUCCCGAGAGGGUGCCAGGCCCGUGGUAGGCCGGUGCAGGUGUUGGGUGAACCUCUCCUUAGAGUCAGGUUGCUUGAGAGUGCAGCCCUAAGCGGGUGGUAAACUCCAUCUAAGGCUAAAUACAACCACGAGACCGAUAGCGAACAAGUACCGUGAGGGAAAGUUGAAAAGAACUUUGAAGAGAGAGUUCAAGAGUACGUGAAACCGCUCAGGGGUAAACGGAAAAGACCCGAAAUUUCCGAAAAGGGAGAUUCACGUCUUCUCGCGGGUUCAACGCAUCCAUCUCUCUUCGACGGCUCUGCUCCCGUUCGGACUCGUCCGGUGCGUGGUAGUGGAGUUGCAGAGAGUGGUGUGAAGGCUCGCGGCGGACCGCACUUCUCCCUUAGUAGGACGUCGUGACCCGCCCGGCCAUGGUCUUACGGUCGUAGGGAGGAGCCUGUCCUUCGACGUGCUUGCACGUUUUUGGGCAGACCCCUGCGUCCCGGCCAUGGUUUCAUAACUGGACGGUAUCAAGUGACGGUGUUCAGCCUCUCUUCGGCAGAGGAAACUCUUGCCAGUGAGCGCGAUUUGACUCAUGACAAGGUGCGGAGAUGUUUCAGUCAAGGCGGGCUUCCGUCCGUCUGGCUGCUCUCUGCCCUGUUGGUUGUGGGACCUCUCGUUUGGCCUAUUUAGCACCCGUCUACGGCGAACCAGUUUUGGGUUCUUGUCCGACCCGUCUUGAAACACGGACCAAGGAGUUCAGCGUGUACGCGAGUCAUUGGGUGUUCAAACCUAAAGGCGUAAUGAAAGUGAAGGGAACUUCUCGUUUCUGAGGGAGGAUGAGCAGGUUACUCGCAAGAGGCCUCUCCGCACUCCCGGGGCGUCUCUUUCUCAUUGCGAGUGGAGGCGCACCCAGAGCGUACACGCUGAUACCCGAAAGAUGGUGAACUAUGCCUGGCCAGGACGAAGCCAGGGGAAACCCUGGUGGAGGUCCGCAGCGAUUCUGACGUGCAAAUCGAUCGUCGGAGCUGGGUAUAGGGGCGAAAGACCAAUCGAACCAUCUAGUAGCUGGUUCCCUCCGAAGUUUCCCUCAGGAUAGCUUGCGCUCACGUGAACGAGUCUCAUCCGGUAGAGCGAAUGAUUAGAGGCCUUGGGGUCGAAACGACCUCAACCUAUUCUCAAACUCCAAAUAGAUGAGAACUCCGGCUUCCUUGAAACUUUGUUUUUGAAGCCGGGGGCUUGGAUCAGAGUGCCAAGUGGGCCAAUUUUGGUAAGCAGAACUGGCGCUGUGGGA
RNAcentral lists this ribosomal RNA (1464 nucleotides) under Ausejanus luteoelytratus. RNAcentral describes it as "eukaryotic LSU rRNA". It matches the Rfam family "Eukaryotic large subunit ribosomal RNA", at positions 24 to 1163 of the family's 3401-position model. Lineage: Eukaryota; Metazoa; Arthropoda; Insecta; Hemiptera; Miridae. The record is from RNAcentral.